GUGAGAGAACCGGAGGGGCAUUUUCUUACAUACCACAUCAAAAGAUCCCAUUCAUUAAAAGCCCUGCCACUGAAAUUCUCCGUAUGUUAUAGAAGGGCAUAUUUAAAAUCUCAAGUGACUGCAGAGGACACCUACCCUAGAGAACCUCAAAUGGGAUGUCCUGGAACCUGGAGAAUUCAGAGGUGUCUCAGCUGUCAAUGAAGACAGGGAACAACAUUUAGUGUCCAGGUGACUCGGGCUAAAGGAUGGAGGCAAUGGAAAUUUCCUCAUGUUAAAAAGACAAGCAUUCUGGACUCUUUCCAGUCUGUUCUUUAAGAAAGGGGCUGCCCUUCCAGGCUUCAGUUUUAUCCUCCAUACCUCAGGUAAGCUAGAG
Molecule: long non-coding RNA, 373 nt
Organism: Equus caballus (horse)
Lineage: Eukaryota; Metazoa; Chordata; Mammalia; Perissodactyla; Equidae
Source: Ensembl